Molecule: ribosomal RNA, 253 nt
Filed under: uncultured bacterium
Lineage: Bacteria
Description: partial 16S ribosomal RNA
Rfam family: Bacterial small subunit ribosomal RNA
Source: RNAcentral
UACAGAGGUCUCAAGCGUUGUUCGGAUUCAUUGGGCGUAAAGGGUGCGUAGGCGGCGCGGUAAGUCGGGUGUGAAAUCUCGGAGCUUAACUCCGGAGGGUCGGUGGAUACUGCCAGUCUUGAAGGUGCUAGGGGGAGAUGGAAUUACCGGUGUAGCGGUGAAAUGCGUAGAUAUCGGUAGGAACACCAGUGGCGAAGGCGGUCUCCUGGGGCAUUCUUGACGCUGAGGCGCGAAAGCUGGGGGAGCAAACGGG